UGAGGAAUAUUGGUCAAUGGACGCAAGUCUGAACCAGCCAAGUAGCGUGCAGGAUGACGGCCCUAUGGGUUGUAAACUGCUUUUAUAUGGGGAUAAAGUGGGGAACGUGUUCCCUUUUGCAGGUACCAUAUGAAUAAGGACCGGCUAAUUCCGUGCCAGCAGCCGCGGUAAUACGGAAGGUUCGGGCGUUAUCCGGAUUUAUUGGGUUUAAAGGGAGCGUAGGCCGCGUUUUAAGCGUGUUGUGAAAUGUAGACGCCCAACGUCUGCAUCGCAGCGCGAACUGGGACGCUUGAGUACGCGCAACGUUGGCGGAAUUCGUCGUGUAGCGGUGAAAUGCUUAGAUAUGACGAGGAACUCCGAUUGCGAAGGCAGCUGACGGGAGCGGCACUGACGCUUAAGCUCGAAGGUGCGGGUAUCAAACAGG
This 424-nucleotide ribosomal RNA is filed under the name Verrucomicrobiota bacterium. RNAcentral describes it as "Verrucomicrobia bacterium partial 16S ribosomal RNA". It matches the Rfam family "Bacterial small subunit ribosomal RNA", at positions 355 to 776 of the family's 1533-position model. The record is from RNAcentral. Lineage: Bacteria; Pseudomonadati; Verrucomicrobiota.